AGAGUUUGAUCCUGGCUCAGAUUGAACGCUGGCGGCAUGCCUUACACAUGCAAGUCGAACGGCAGCACGGGAGCAAUCCUGGUGGCGAGUGGCGAACGGGUGAGUAAUAUAUCGGAACGUGCCCAGUCGUGGGGGAUAACGCAGCGAAAGCUGUGCUAAUACCGCAUACGAUCUAUGGAUGAAAGCGGGGGACUCGCAAGAGCCUCGCGCGAUUGGAGCGGCCGAUAUCAGAUUAGCUUGUUGGUGGGGUAAAAGCCCACCAAGGCGACGAUCUGUAGCUGGUCUGAGAGGACGACCAGCCACACUGGAACUGAGACACGGUCCAGACUCCUACGGGAGGCAGCAGUGGGGAAUUUUGGACAAUGGGCGCAAGCCUGAUCCAGCAAUGCCGCGUGCAGGAUGAAGGCCUUCGGGUUGUAAACUGCUUUUGUACGGAACGAAACGGCUCUUUCUAAUAAAGAGGGCUAAUGACGGUACCGUAAGAAUAAGCACCGGCUAACUACGUGCCAGCAGCCGCGGUAAUACGUAGGGUGCGAGCGUUAAUCGGAAUUACUGGGCGUAAAGCGUGCGCAGGCGGUUAUAUAAGACAGAUGUGAAAUCCCCGGGCUCAACCUGGGACCUGCAUUUGUGACUGUAUAGCUAGAGUACGGUAGAGGGGGAUGGAAUUCCGCGUGUAGCAGUGAAGUGCGUAGAUAUGCGGAGGAACACCGAUGGCGAAGGCAAUCCCCUGGACCUGUACUGACGCUCAUGCACGAAAGCGUGGGGAGCAAACAGGAUUAGAUACCCUGGUAGUCCACGCCCUAAACGAUGUCAACUGGUUGUUGGGUCUUCACUGACUCAGUAACGAAGCUAACGCG
This 857-nucleotide ribosomal RNA is filed under the name uncultured bacterium. RNAcentral describes it as "bacterial SSU rRNA". It matches the Rfam family "Bacterial small subunit ribosomal RNA", at positions 8 to 859 of the family's 1533-position model. The record is from RNAcentral.